AGACACUGAAGUUUGUAAGCCUGGACUGGAGGCCCUCCUUCCCCCUCCCUCCUCACCAAGCAUGGCUGGCGGCGCUCACUUAGGUCGUCUUUGAAUCCUGUCCACAACCCCUGGACGCUGCUGGUCCAGCAAGGCUGCCGUUUGCUGAGAAAGGCUCCUCACCCACGCCAGUGCUCUCAGUCCGUCAACAGAGGAGUGGAUAAAGAAGAUGUGGUACAUGUAUACAAUGGAAUAUUACUCAGCCAUAAAAAAGGAUGAAAUAAGUCCAUCUGCAGCAACAUGGACGGACCUAGAAUUGCCAUACUGAGUGAAAGCACAGGCUCCGGACGCGCAGGCUCAGCGGCCAUGGCUCACGGGCGCAGUCACUCCGCGGCAUGUGGGAUCUUCCCGGACUGGGGCACGAACCCGUAUUCCCUGCAUCGGCAGGCGGACUCUCAACCACUGCGCCACCAGGAAAGCCUUAAAGUUCUCCAUUUUAGAGACUCAAUUUCCAUUUCUUUAUGGUCCUGGCUCUCUAUCAGUUGUCCCCUAGUCCAUGGUUUUCUCUGUCUCUGCCCUUCCUUUCCAGGCUGGGUGCUCAGGGGAGAGGAACGAUGGUCAUGGGAGGGACACCAGGGCCCGACCCCAUCGAAAUGAGGUGGUGGAGGGAGAAACAGUCCCGUGACGGGGAGUGGAAUUCACCUCUGUGGACCCCUUCGCAGUGCCCGGUCUUCGCUGCUCCAUCUUGCCUUGAGUUGGAGAUCUGGAGAUACAGUCGUGUCUGAGGUCCUGCUUUCUCCCUGGGUGUCAGAACACGUAAGGUGGCCAACUGCGGAUGGCUUGGCCCAUGGGAGGGAGGCCUCACGGCCUUACAAGUCUAGGUCAGGGCAAUUGCAGCAGAAGGAUGAGGCAAAUGGAGCCCCAGAAGAGGAAGCCUCCCACUGACACCUGCGGGUAUAAAGCCAGGACCUGCCAAUGAACAAGAGGGGCCGUGGCGUGAGCCCCCAGCAGUCGGCCCCGGGAGGAGGGGCAUCAUAAGGCUCAGGGGGCCAUGUGCUGUGUUCUUUGUCUCUCUGACUGUAGCUUCACUAUAGCUAUUCCAUCCUAUACCUAUCUAACCUCUAUCUACGCUCACGAUACUGGUGACUUGUGCAUUUAUUUUUGCCCACCCUGAUUCACUUUAUUUGAAGAAAUUCCUGGAGGAAGGAGGGCUCCUCCUCUGCAUCACUGUCUCAUCUCCCUGGGGGACUCUGAUAGGUCUCGCAAGAUUGUUAGUGCCUCACCCACCAGGGUAUAGACUCUCCCCUCUUUGUAGCUUUGGUGGACUAACUUUACUCAAUCUUCCAGAACACUCUUUAGGAUCGUCUUUUGGGAGAGCCUAUGUCUCAGUUUGCUUGGAACAGUCCUAGUUUACACCGGUUGUUCCAGUGUAAUUAUGAAUAGUUUCCCCUCUGGACAAUGUUACACGGUCAUCUUAGUGGAUGGUGCCUGGUAGCUAUUUCAAUAUGGCGGCUGUGCUGCAAGAGACCUUCCUCCUCAUUAGCCCCACUCGCUCUCCCAGUCUCUGUGGCCAUGACCCAGUCUGAGGCCUGAUUACCUGGAACACUUUCCAGCAGCCCUGAGCUCAGUGCCUCAGUCACCAAGCUCCCAUGAGCUACACAGAGAUACUCCCCUAGAAUCGCCACUGAAAUCCACCCCCUUCUCUCCACUGAAAUCAGAGACUCGCUUCUUCUUCAGCACUAAAAAAAUGUCAUCUCAACGUACUCAUGGCGGGGAAUGAGUUUUUCCCAAGGCUCUGACGUUUGUCCACCAGCCACUGAGAGCUUAGUGUGAGAAAGAGGCUGGGGAACCUCCCCCAAAAGAACCCUCCUGCCUCUUCCCUGCCAGGGUGGCUGGAAGGAAGGGUAGGGAGGAAGCCUCAGAGCAGAAAGAGGGUUGUGGAAGAGAUUUGCAAUGUUCUGGAGUGAGAAAGCCAACAGAGUGGAACAAUACUGUGCCCCAUUUUGCUUGUCCCAGAAGGAGAGAAGAGAGAGAGUGAGGCAGAAAAAACGUUCCAAGAAAUAAUGGCUGGAACUUUCCAGCUUUUGUGAAAGGCCUAUAGCUUUAGGUUCAAGAGACUCCACACACUCCAAGCAGAACUGAAAGUAAACAAAAAAGCACAUCCAGGCACAUCAGAGUCAAACUGCUAAAAACCAAAGAUAAAAAGGAAAUCUUGAAAGAGGCCAGAGAUAAAGGACACACCGCAAGCAGAGAACAACACUCUCAGCGUCACUGCUUUCCCAUCCAAAACCAUAUAGACCAGGAGGCAGUGGCACUACGUCUUUAGAACCCUGAAAGAAAAAAGAAGUUGUCAACUCAGAAUUACUUUUCCAGUGGAAAUAUUCUUCAAGUCUGAAGAUGAAGUGAAAGCAUUUUCAGGUAAAAGAAAACGUCAAGACUUUGUCGUGAGCAAACCUGCUCUGGGAAAAAAUGCUUCAGUUCUUAGCCUGAGGGGCAGGAAUCCAGGUGGAUGAGCAGAGCUGGAGAAUGGAUCAUGGGAAAUGGUUCAUUUGUAGGUAAAUAUAAGACAUAGUUUUUCUUUUUAAUGUCUUUAAAAUACAUAUAGCUGUUUAAAGCAAGACAUAACGUAACGUGGGGUUUAUAACAUAUGUGGAUGUGACAUACAUGAAAACUAUAGCAUAAACCCUGGGGGCUGGUUUCUUCAUACAGUAUUAACUCCAAUUGCUAGAUGCUCUUCUCUCUAGAACUGUGGUUUUCUGCCUGGUCUGGGAAGCCCCGGGGGUGUCCUUGACAUCUUUUUUCUCUCUCUUUCUUCUCAUGAGGGCACCCUGGGCUUGGUUACCAGAGGCUACGUGAGCUGUGACGACAUCACCCCAGACAACUAACGGGACGUGUGCUGUGUAUCCUGGUGUUUUAAAUUCUUCUUGGUUUUCAUUUCUAAUACAGUGAAUAUGACUAGAUAUAACCUACAUACGCAAAAGCUCUUUGGGGUCCACAAUACUUUAAAAAAAUUUAUUUUAUUGAAGUAUAGUUGAUUUACAAUGUUGUGCCACUCUCUGAGGUGUUAAGAAAGGCUAUGGACAGAAGAGCAGAUUACUGUAAAAAGAAGCAAGAAACUCUAAGAAGGAGGCAAGAAAAAUUAGAAAAUUCGUUUGCAGAGACGAAAGCUGAGCUAAAGGUACUGAAUAGCAGAAUGAAUAAUGCAGAAGAAAGAAUAAGUGAUCUCAAUACUUUUUUUUUUUUUUUUGCGGUACGCGGGCCUCUCACUGUUGUGGCCUCUCCCGUUGUGGCGCACAGGCUCCGGACGCGCAGGCUCAGCGGCCAUGGCUCACGGGCCCAGCCGCUCGGCCGCAUGUGGGAUCCUCCCGGACCAGGGCACGAACCCACGUCCCCUGCAUUGGCAGGCGGACUCUCAACCACUGCGCCACCAGGGAAACCCCUCAAUACUUUUUAAGGGUAUAAAGUUUGAGAACAGUUGCCUAGAGCAACCACUAAAAAUAAAUUAACAUAAUAAGAAAAGAAAGGCAAAGAGGUAGAGCUAAAAGGCCACUAUAUGCGAGAAAAUGGAAUUCUGAACUCUAAACCGGUUUAAUUUGGGGGGACUUGCUUCUAGUAGGGUGACCUAUUAGAAAUUGUCCUGGUUUGUCUGGGACAUGGAGCUUUCCAUCUUAAAACUGGUUCAGUCCCAGGCAAACUGGGUCAGUUGGUAAUUUAUAGCCUUUCAGUCAUCUAUUUUGUCCCCCUUCCCUUAGCCAAAUGAGAGCCCCUAAAGAGCAAAAGCACCUCUGACCUGCGUGCAGGCCCCCAAGAUAGGUAAGAGGACUGAACAAAGGAAAUAAAGGAGGCAAAAUGCUAAGCACACUAUGUCCACAAAAACAGAAAACACGGGACCAGCCUAAGAUAACUGUCUAUUAGAGUAUAUCACUACGGAUGGUUUCAAAAAUGUUUCUCUGUUUAGUGAAAU
Globicephala melas (long-finned pilot whale) is the source of this 3943-nucleotide long non-coding RNA. RefSeq lists it as uncharacterized. The record is from RefSeq and is a predicted model, not a curated record. NCBI's taxonomy places the organism in Eukaryota, Metazoa, Chordata, Mammalia, Artiodactyla, Delphinidae.